GUAGGGUCCAAGCGUUAUCCGGAAUCACUGGGCGUAAAGCGUGCGUAGGUGGUUUGUUAAGUGUGGUGUUAAAUCGUGGGGCUCAACCCUAUCGAUGCAUCGCAUACUGGCAGACUAGAGGACAGCAGAGGCAAGUGGAAUUUGUAGUGUAGCAGUGAAAUGCGUAGAUAUUACAAGGAACACCAAUGGCGAAGGCAGCUUGCUGGGCUACUCCUGACACUGAGGUACGAAAGCGUGGGGAGCGAACAGGAUUAGAUACCCUGGUAGUCCACGCCGUAAACGAUGCAUACUAGACGUAUGGGGUAUCGACCCCCUGUGCGUCGAAGCUAACGCGAUAAGUAUGCCGCCUGGGAAGUACGGCCGCAAGGCUA
RNAcentral lists this ribosomal RNA (371 nucleotides) under uncultured organism. RNAcentral describes it as "bacterial SSU rRNA". It matches the Rfam family "Bacterial small subunit ribosomal RNA", at positions 527 to 896 of the family's 1533-position model. The record is from RNAcentral.